UUAAAAGUCUAGCUCCGCCACUGCUUGGGACACAUCGAUCACUUCCGGUGCGGAGGCAACAGUAGAUUAGCAAUGGCGUUUCGACCGUUGCAGAACUAACCGACAAUAACUGCUGAUAAUGUUUAUGGAAUUAACGCAAGAACGUCAGAAAGUAUGAUGUGAAAAUGUCCCAAAUUGUCUGGUGCCCAAGGAAGAAAAAUAAUGAAAAGAAGAAGAAGAAGAAAUAAAACAUCACAGAAACAGAGACCUGCAGAUCUCUGACCUGCAGAGGAAGUAAAUAUGUUCCUUAUUCACACAGCAAGAUCUGCACUCAGGAAGAGGUCGUAGAGUUUAUCCAGCUCCUUCUCCGCGCCCUUUGGUGUGAUGUGAACUGGAAUCAUCACCAGAUCUUCCAGAGCUGUCGAGACAGGAAUCAGUGUGCAAAGAACGGAUAGUGUCUGCACUCGGAAGCCGUUUUCAACAGGAAAUGCUCAGAGCUGCGACAGGAAGAGGCCCAGCCGCCUCGUCUCAGCGCCUGGCUGAUGUUGUUUAGACAUGAAUGAGUUAAAGAAAAACCUGUCGCCGCUGAAAAACUGUCCUGGGAACAAGCAGGGCGGGUUUGUUUCUGCCGUGGACUUCUUUUGUUUGCUGGUUUUAGUAAAGCAGUAAUUCUCAGGAUUUUUGCAUUUGCAGGAUUCGUGGAAGUCGGGUUUGUGUUGCAACUAAUUGAUGCGUCUGCACGGAGCUGCAGGCCAAGGCAAACAGACACUCAUACCAUUAAAACCAGUUUGAACUUGCUCAGUUUGUCUGGUCUAGUUUUAUCUUGCGUUGUUGAACAGAAAAGAUUCAAGAUAAACUUGGCAUUUCUCGUGUCGUAAUAAGAGUUUUUUAUAACUUCUUUUUUCCAUUUUCCCCAUGUCGUAAGUGAGAUAAUCUGCCAGCAGGACUAAUAUUUUCUCAUCAAUAUGAAGGAACUGCUGACUUGAAACGAGUUUCUAUAUUUUGCCAUAAAAUUACUUAUGAUUUAGUUUUGUCUUGUUUCAAGUGCACUAAGAAAUUGGAUUAAAAAUACUGGGUGGGAUUUUGUGUUUUUGCAGUGAUGCUGCAUAUAGGUACAUAUUUAUUACCUCUUUUACUGUUAUCACAAUAAAUACCACAAAAUAUGAUGUUGACGUCUAAAUACAUAUCACCCAUCCCUUGUUUAAACUACUAUUAAAAUAUUGUCUGAUGAGGCUUCAUCAACAUGCCUCAGUGAAAUAAUAACUGCACUGAGGAUGUAAUUUAGUCUUUUGAUUCGGGUUUGUUCUGAUCCGG
Molecule: non-coding RNA, 1293 nt
Organism: Poecilia reticulata (guppy)
Lineage: Eukaryota; Metazoa; Chordata; Actinopteri; Cyprinodontiformes; Poeciliidae
Source: RefSeq, a predicted model, not a curated record